This 305-nucleotide ribosomal RNA is filed under the name uncultured bacterium. Its description in RNAcentral is "bacterial SSU rRNA". It matches the Rfam family "Bacterial small subunit ribosomal RNA", at positions 335 to 638 of the family's 1533-position model. The record is from RNAcentral.
UGUCCUACGGGGGGCAGCAGUGAGGAAUAUUGGUCAAUGGGCGGGAGCCUGAACCAGCCAAGUCGCGUGAAGGAAGAAGGUACUUAGUAUUGUAAACUUCUUUUGUCGGGGAACAAAGGCGGAGACGCGUCUCCGGAUGAGUGUACCCGAAGAAAAAGCAUCGGCUAACUCCGUGCCAGCAGCCGCGGUAAUACGGAGGAUGCGAGCGUUAUCCGGAUUUAUUGGGUUUAAAGGGUGCGCAGGCGGAAGAUCAAGUCAGCGGUAAAAUUGAGAGGCUCAACCUCUUCGAGCCGUUGAAACUGGUU